Molecule: ribosomal RNA, 491 nt
Filed under: uncultured Caldanaerocella sp.
Lineage: Bacteria; Bacillati; Bacillota; Clostridia; Eubacteriales; Clostridiaceae
Description: bacterial SSU rRNA
Rfam family: Bacterial small subunit ribosomal RNA
Source: RNAcentral
CGAUGAAGGCCUUCGGGUCGUAAAGCUCUGUCCUAAGGGAAGAAUAAUGACGGUACCUUAGGAGGAAGCCCCGGCUAACUACGUGCCAGCAGCCGCGGUAAUACGUAGGGGGCGAGCGUUAUCCGGAAUCACUGGGCGUAAAGGGUGCGUAGGCGGUCAAUAAAGUCUGGGGUGAAAGGCUACGGCUUAACCGUAGUAAGCCUUGGAAACUUAUUGGCUUGAGUGCAGGAGAGGAGAGUGGAAUUCCUAGUGUAGCGGUGAAAUGCGUAGAUAUUAGGAGGAACACCAGUGGCGAAGGCGACUCUCUGGACUGUAACUGACGCUGAGGCACGAAAGCGUGGGGAGCGAACAGGAUUAGAUACCCUGGUAGUCCACGCCGUAAACGAUGAGUGCUAGGUGUCGGGGGUCGAACCUCGGUGCCGCAGCUAACGCAUUAAGCACUCCGCCUGGGGAGUACGGUCGCAAGACUGAAACUCAAAGGAAUUGACGGA